Molecule: ribosomal RNA, 758 nt
Filed under: Curculionidae sp. NZAC 03010386
Lineage: Eukaryota; Metazoa; Arthropoda; Insecta; Coleoptera; Curculionidae
Description: eukaryotic LSU rRNA
Rfam family: Eukaryotic large subunit ribosomal RNA
Source: RNAcentral
UACGUGAAACCGUUUAGGGGUAAACCUGAGAAACCCGAAAGGUCGAAGGGAGAAAUUCAUUCGCGUUCGUCGCAGGCGUCGGGCGGGGUCGAGUGACGGAAAGCGUUCGCGCUUUUCGCGCCAUCCGCUCGUCGAACCGGUAACGAACGCGUGCACUUUUCUCCUGGUAGGACGUCGCGAUCCGUUGGGUGUCGGUCUACGGCUCGCGGUGGAGCCCGUUCGUACGUCUCGCGACGUACGGGCGGACCCGCGUGUCCCGGCUGACUCGCUCGACGGUAUAAGAAAGGUUUAAGGCCGCUCUCUCGGAGCGUUCGACUCGCGGCAAGCGCGCCAGAUGCGUCGGCGAUCGGACCCGGUGCCGAUUCUGACCUCUGGUGACUGUUGGCCGCGAAGUUCUCGAACAGACCUUCUCUCGAAAACCGAUCUGCGACGCUAUAGCUUUGGGUACUUUCAGGACCCGUCUUGAAACACGGACCAAGGAGUCUAGCAUGUGCGCGAGUCAUUGGGAAUAACUAAACCUAAAGGCGCAAUGAAAGUAAAGGUCCCCCUCGCGGGGACUGAGGGAAGACGGGCGGUUUUCACCCUUAAAAGUGGCCGCUCCGCACUCCCGGGGCGUCUCGUUCUCAUCGCGAGAAGAGGCGCACCAAGAGCGUACACGCUGGGACCCGAAAGAUGGUGAACUAUGCCUGGUCAGGACGAAGUCAGGGGAAACCCUGAUGGAGGUCCGUAGCGAUUCUGACGUGCAAAUCGAUCGUCGG